CAAGUCGAMCGGUAACAGGAAGCAGCUUGCUGCUUUGCUGACGAGUGGCGGACGGGUGAGUAAUGUCUGGGAAACUGCCCGAUGGAGGGGGAUAACUACUGGAAACGGUAGCUAAUACCGCAUAACGUCGCAAGACCAAAGAGGGGGACCUUAGGGCCUCUUGCCAUCGGAUGUGCCCAGAUGGGAUUAGCUAGUAGGUGGGGUAACGGCUCACCUAGGCGACGAUCCCUAGCUGGUCUGAGAGGAUGACCAGCCACACUGGAACUGAGACACGGUCCAGACUCCUACGGGAGGCAGCAGUGGGGAAUAUUGCACAAUGGGCGCAAGCCUGAUGCAGCCAUGCCGCGUGUAUGAAGAAGGCCUUCGGGUUGUAAAGUACUUUCAGCGGGGAGGAAGGGAGUAAAGUUAAUACCUUUGCUCAUUGACGUUACCCGCAGAAGAAGCACCGGCUAACUCCGUGCCAGCAGCCGCGGUAAUACGGAGGGUGCAAGCGUUAAUCGGAAUUACUGGGCGUAAAGCGCACGCAGGCGGUUUGUUAAGUCAGAUGUGAAAUCCCCGGGCUCAACCUGGGAACUGCAUCUGAUACUGSCAAGCUUGAGUCUCGUAGAGGGGGGUAGAAUUCCAGGUGUAGCGGUGAAAUGCGUAGAGAUCUGGAGGAAUACCGGUGGCGAAGGCGGCCCCCUGGACGAAGACUGACG
This 698-nucleotide ribosomal RNA is filed under the name bacterium BM0321. RNAcentral describes it as "bacterial SSU rRNA". It matches the Rfam family "Bacterial small subunit ribosomal RNA", at positions 58 to 745 of the family's 1533-position model. The record is from RNAcentral.